CUAAUUUCAACAACCGAACGGAUUAUAUCGAUUAGAAUUUGGAAAAACCUGUCCAGUCUGCUUCGAUUAGGACAUUGGUGAUACUGUGUUAUCUCUCAUGGGUACUUUUAUUUCAUAUCUCCAAAAUGUCCUUGUUCCAAUUGGUGGGAAUUUGAUGUUUCUCAAGCCACAGUCUUUGCCGAUGACAGGCAUACCCAUAACAUGAUGCAGCCACCACCAUGCUUGAAAGUAUGAAGAGUGUGUCACGAGGAGCGGAACAGGAGCAGACUCAGAUGAGGAGACUGGGAUGAGG
RNAcentral lists this long non-coding RNA (292 nucleotides) under Salmo salar (Atlantic salmon). RNAcentral describes it as "lncRNA (ENSSSAG00000082785.1, ENSSSAG00020074018.1, ENSSSAG00075053547.1)". Lineage: Eukaryota; Metazoa; Chordata; Actinopteri; Salmoniformes; Salmonidae. The record is from RNAcentral.